UACGUAGGGUCCAAGCGUUAUCCGGAAUUACUGGGCGUAAAGGGCGCGUAGGCGGCGACUCAAGUUAGAUGUGAAAGUCCUGGGCUUAACCUGGGGACUGCAUUUGAUACUGGGUUGCUUGAAUUCGGGAGAGGAUAGCGGAAUUCCCAGUGUAGAGGUGAAAUUCGUAGAUAUUGGGAAGAACACCGGUGGCGAAGGCGGCUAUCUGGACCGACAUUGACGCUGAGGCGCGAAAGCGUGGGGAGCAAACAGG
Molecule: ribosomal RNA, 253 nt
Filed under: uncultured bacterium
Lineage: Bacteria
Description: partial 16S ribosomal RNA
Rfam family: Bacterial small subunit ribosomal RNA
Source: RNAcentral